RNAcentral lists this ribosomal RNA (1234 nucleotides) under metagenome. RNAcentral describes it as "bacterial LSU rRNA". It matches the Rfam family "Bacterial large subunit ribosomal RNA", at positions 1564 to 2808 of the family's 2925-position model. The record is from RNAcentral.
UGAGUACGAGAUGCUACGGCGUCGAAGCAGUCUAUGUCAUACUUCCAAGAAAAGCUUGCACUGUCAUAAACAAAUAAUGCCUGUACCAUAACCGACACAGGUGGGUAGGUAGAGUAUACUAAGGGGCGCGAGAUAACUCUCUCUAAGGAACUCGGCAAAGUGACUCCGUAACUUCGGGAGAAGGAGUGCCUUAUUCUUAAGGUUGCAAUAACAAGAUCCAAGCAACUGUUUAUCAAAAACACAGGUCUCCGCUAAGUCGUAAGACGAUGUAUGGGGGCUGACGCCUGCCCAGUGCCAGAAGGUUAAAGAAGUUGGUUAGCAUUCGCGAAGCUGAUAACUGAAGCCCUGGUGAACGGCGGCCGUAACAAUAACGGUCCUAAGGUAGCGAAAUUCCUUGUCGGGUAAGUUCCGACCCGCACGAAAGGCGUAAUGAUUUGGAUACUGUCUCGGAGAGGGGCUCGGUGAAAUAGACUUGUCUGUGAAGAUGCGGACUACCUGCACCUGGACAGAAAGACCCUAUGAAGCUUUACUGUAACUUGAAAUUGAAAUUGGACUUUAUUUGCGCAGUAUAGGUGGGAGGCGUUGAGAAUAUUCUUGCGGGAAUAUUGGAGCCAUCAGUGAGAUACCACUCUUGUAAUGUUAGAUUUCUAACUUUGAAUCAUUAUCUGGUCAAAGGACAGUUUCAGGCGGGCAGUUUGACUGGGGCGGUCGCCUCCUAAAUGGUAACGGAGGCGCACAAAGGUUUCCUCUGAACGGGUAGAAAUCGUAUCUAGAGUGUAAAGGCAUAAGGAAGCUUGACUGUGAGACCUACAAGUCGAGCAGGGACGAAAGUCGGUCUUAGUGAUCUGACGGUGCUGAGUGGAAAGGCCGUCACUCAACGGAUAAAAGUUACUCUAGGAUAACAGGCUGAUCUCCCCCAAGAGUUCACAUCGACGGGGAGGUUUGGCACCUCGAUGUCGGCUCAUCGCAUCCUGGGGCGGUAGUACGUCCCAAGGGUUGGGCUGUUCGCCCAUGAAAGCGGUACGCGAGCUGGGUUCAGAACGUCGUGAGACAGUUCGGUCCAUAUCCGGUGUAGGCGUUAGAAUAUUGAGAGGAGCCUUCUUUAGUACGAGAGGACCGAGAAGGACAUACCUCUGGUGUACCAGUUAUCGUGCCAACGGUAAACGCUGGGUAGCUAUGUAUGGAGAGGAUAACCGCUGAAAGCAUCUAAGUGGGAAGCCCACCUCAAGAUAAG